GGCUUCAUGGUCUAGUGGUAUGAUUCCUGCUUUGUAAGUUCUUCACAGCAAUCAAAUUUGAGAAUCAAAACAGUUUUCUAACAGUGCAAUCACAGGGGUUCACAGCUCAAACUUGCAGGAGGCCCCGCGUUCGAAUCGCGGUGGAGCCC
Non-coding RNA from Periconia macrospinosa, 149 nucleotides. Lineage: Eukaryota; Fungi; Ascomycota; Dothideomycetes; Pleosporales; Periconiaceae. The record is from the annotation of a GenBank genome assembly.